GUCUACAGCCACACCACCCUGAAUGUGCCUGAUCUCCUCUGAUCUCAGAAGCUAAGCAGGGUUGGGCCUCGUUAGUACUUAGAUGGGAGACUACUUGAAGACCACCUGGGAAUACCAAGUGCAAUAGGCU
This is a ribosomal RNA of Otolemur garnettii (small-eared galago), 130 nucleotides long. The record is from Ensembl. Lineage: Eukaryota; Metazoa; Chordata; Mammalia; Primates; Galagidae.